Molecule: ribosomal RNA, 492 nt
Filed under: uncultured bacterium
Lineage: Bacteria
Description: partial 16S ribosomal RNA
Rfam family: Bacterial small subunit ribosomal RNA
Source: RNAcentral
AGUGAACGCUGGCGGUAGGCCUAACACAUGCAAGUCGAACGGCAGCACAGUAAGAGCUUGCUCUUACGGGUGGCGAGUGGCGGACGGGUGAGGAAUACAUCGGAAUCUACUUUUUCGUGGGGGAUAACGUAGGGAAACUGAUGCUAAUACCGCAUACGACCUACGGGUGAAAGCAGGGGAUCUUCGGACCUUUCGCGAUUGAAUGAGCCGAUGUCGGAUUAGCUAGUUGGCGAGGUAAAGGCCCACCAAGGCGACGAUCCGAAGCUGGUCUGAGAGGAUGAUCAGCCAAACUGGAACUGGGACACGGUCCAGACUCCUACGGGAGGCCACCGUGGGGAAUAUUGGACAAUGGGCGGAAGCCUGAUCCAGCCAUACCGCGUGGGUGAAGAAGGCCUUCGGGUUCUAAAGCCCUUUUGUUGGGAAAGAAAAGCAGCAGGUUAAUACCCCGCUGUUCUGACGGUACCCAAAGAAUAAGCCCCGGCUAACUUCGUG